UUGACCUCGGAUCAGGUAGGGAUACCCGCUGAACUUAAGCAUAUCAAUAAGCGGAGGAAAAGAAACCAACAGGGAUUGCCCUAGUAACGGCGAGUGAAGCGGCAACAGCUCAAAUUUGAAAUCUGGCGUCUUCGGCGUCCGAGUUGUAAUUUGCAGAGGGCGCUUUGGCAUUGGCAGCGGUCCAAGUUCCUUGGAACAGGACGUCACAGAGGGUGAGAAUCCCGUACGUGGUCGCUAGCCUUUACCGUGUAAAGCCCCUUCGACGAGUCGAGUUGUUUGGGAAUGCAGCUCUAAAUGGGAGGUAAAUUUCUUCUAAAGCUAAAUACUGGCCAGAGACCGAUAGCGCACAAGUAGAGUGAUCGAAAGAUGAAAAGCACUUUGGAAAGAGAGUUAAAAAGCACGUGAAAUUGUUGAAAGGGAAGCGCUUGCAGCCAGACUUGCCUGUAGUUGCUCAUCCGGGUUUCUACCCGGUGCACUCUUCUACGGGCAGGCCAGCAUCAGUUUGGGCGGUUGGAUAAAGGUCUCUGUCAUGUACCUCUCUUCGGGGAGAACUUAUAGGGGAGACGACAUGCAACCAGCCU
RNAcentral lists this ribosomal RNA (581 nucleotides) under Didymella pinodella. RNAcentral describes it as "eukaryotic LSU rRNA". It matches the Rfam family "Eukaryotic large subunit ribosomal RNA", at positions 1 to 585 of the family's 3401-position model. Lineage: Eukaryota; Fungi; Ascomycota; Dothideomycetes; Pleosporales; Didymellaceae. The record is from RNAcentral.